Molecule: ribosomal RNA, 253 nt
Filed under: uncultured bacterium
Lineage: Bacteria
Description: partial 16S ribosomal RNA
Rfam family: Bacterial small subunit ribosomal RNA
Source: RNAcentral
UACGGAGGGUGCAAGCGUUGUUCGGAAUUAUUGGGCGUAAAGGGCAGGUAGGUUGUCUCGCAAGUCUACUGUGAAAUCCCUGGGCUUAACCCAGGAAGUGCGGUGGAUACUGCAAGACUAGAGUAUCGGAGGGGUGCGUGGAAUUCCCGGUGUAGCGGUGAAAUGCGUAGAGAUCCGGAGGAACACCAGUGGCGAAGGCGGCCGCCUGGGCCGGACCUGACGCUGAGACGCGAAAGCGUGGGGAGCAAACAGG